AAAUUGAAGAGUUUGAUCAUGGCUCAGAUUGAACGCUGGCGGCAGGCCUAACACAUGCAAGUCGAACGGUAACAGGAAACAGCUUGCUGUUUCGCUGACGAGUGGCGGACGGGUGAGUAAUGUC
Molecule: ribosomal RNA, 124 nt
Filed under: Escherichia coli
Lineage: Bacteria; Pseudomonadati; Pseudomonadota; Gammaproteobacteria; Enterobacterales; Enterobacteriaceae
Also listed under: 2 other names
Description: partial 16S ribosomal RNA
Rfam family: Bacterial small subunit ribosomal RNA
Source: RNAcentral